RNAcentral lists this transfer RNA (77 nucleotides) under Candidatus Cloacimonadota bacterium. RNAcentral's name for it is "tRNA-Arg". It matches the Rfam family "tRNA". Rfam says of the family: Transfer RNA (tRNA) molecules are approximately 80 nucleotides in length. Their secondary structure includes four short double-helical elements and three loops (D, anti-codon, and T loops). The record is from RNAcentral. Lineage: Bacteria; Pseudomonadati; Candidatus Cloacimonadota. RNAcentral also lists the same sequence under 2 other names.
GCGCCCGUAGUUCAAUCGGAUAGAGCAUCUGACUUCGGAUCAGAGGGUUAGGGGUUCGAAUCCCUUCGGGCGUGCCA